RNA transcript from Passer domesticus (house sparrow), 6311 nucleotides. It is a transcript of the gene named protein fem-1 homolog C-like, with no coding region annotated. NCBI's taxonomy places the organism in Eukaryota, Metazoa, Chordata, Aves, Passeriformes, Passeridae. The record is from RefSeq and is a predicted model, not a curated record. The transcript is spliced from 4 exons.
CUUGUGGAACACAAAGCAGACUUGGAAGUAUCAAACCGUCAUGGGCAUACAUGCUUGAUGAUCUCAUGUUACAAAGGCCACAAAGAAAUUGCUCAGUAUUUACUUGAAAAAGGAGCUGAUGUUAACAGAAAAAGUGUUAAAGCCGCCAAGACCCCCGCCACAAGACACAGCGUCCACCAGGGCUGCCACCAGGACCACUGCCACCCCGGGGGGAGGGAGCCGCCUGCAUCGGGACCGCUGCUGCAACUGAGAGAGCCACUGUUUUGGCAGAAUAGCUCCUGUUUGGACAAACUAGCUUUCCAGUUCCCCACAGCUUCUACACAGCUUCCCAGGAUUUUCCCGGGAAAACCAUGUCUCUCUCUGUUCAGAAGAUGUAGGCCUGCAAGGCCUCCCUGGUGGUCAGCAGCCUAAGAUAAGAAAUGCCUAGUCAUGAUGACUGGACCAAAGAAGCCCCUCUUCUGCCUUCGGACCCUCGUUAUCUCUCUGUAAGACGAUAGGUCAUAUUUGCCUCAACCCUUAUUUUUGAACUGUUUCCCAAAACCCCUAUACCCUAUAUAAACCCCUAUUUCUGUGCUGUUCAGCAGAAGAGCUGUCACUGUGACCCUUUGCAGAUGCUGCCAAUAAAGACACCUCUGUGGAACCUCCUACAGCCUUCUCCUCUCUCUCCCCGCGUCUGCUGAGGCACUUAGCAAGCAAAGAGCUGAAUUCACCAAAGAGCUGAUCUCACUUAAGAGCUGAGCUGCUUGCUAAGAUUGCCUGUGACUGGGAGCCUGCCUGAGGGAUGUGGACAGGUUGUGCUUAGCAAGACUUAGCUAUCCGGACACCUAUGGCAGCUGGGGUCAGAGAGACCUCAAAAACCCCUGCCAUAAUAAAAUUUGGUGCUCCGAACGGCGUGCUUGGCAUCCUGGCACUCCAGAGAAGCAGCAUUCUUCUUGAAUAGUUACUGCCUCAGUUUGCUACAACCUCCUGAAGAUAAGUUUUCCAUUAUAGAAGAAGUUAUCUGAAGAGGCAUCCGACGACCCUCCACAUCAACAUCUGGGAUGUGAUCCUGAGGAGUCGGACAUGGCAGACCACCCACCAGCAGUUUUUGACCCACAUUCGGCUGAAGAAGUGCAAGCAUGGGACAAAAGGUGGUCCUUUUGACAUCUUAAUUAUAGGUGUCACUCUCCAUGGCCCAGAGGAAAUCUUUGUUGUUCCAGAAGUACAAACAGUGCACCCGGGACAAGAAAUCUCUGUCCAGCUGUACUGCACGGACUUACCAUUGUAACUUUCACAGGGAACUCCGAUUGCACAAGCCUUUCUACUCCCAAAGAAUCACAGGAAACAGCUUCCUCUCAACUCUACAGCAAUGUGGGCACAAGUUGUGGGUCCAAGCAAGCCUACCAUUGAGUGUGGACUUUCCUGCAGAGGAGACAAGAUCUACCGACCAGGGAUGCUGGACACCUGUGCCGACAUGACCAUCAUCGCCCGCUCAGAAUGGCCGGCAAACUGGGAACUACAACUGCUAGCAGGCAUGAUUUCAGGGAUUGGUGGAACCACAGUGUCUAUGCGAAGCAAGCACAACAUUCUCGUCGAAAGGCCUGAAGGCAAGUUAGCAACCAUCCGCCCAUUUGUGGUAAGGCCCCCCAUCAUCCUUUGGGGGAGGGAUGUUCUAUCCCAGUGUGGAGCUUCCCUGUGUAUUCCCAGUCGGGAUUUCUAAUUGGGGCCACUGAGGAGCGUGCACUACCAGAUACCCUGCAGCUCACCUGGAAAUGCCAUGACCCGAUCUGGAUCGAACAGUGGCCCCUCUCUAAAGUCAAACUGCAUGUAGUACAAGCCCUUGUGGAAGAACAGCUUGCCAAAAGCCACAUUGUCGAGACCACCAGCCCUUGGACCUCCCCAGUCUUCGUACUGUAAAAACCUGGAACAGACAGGUGGAGUCUCCUCCACGACCUUUGCAAAAAUCAAUAAGGUCAUCGAGGACAUGGGCCCUCUCCAGCCUGGCCUGCCUUCACCAUCGAUGCUGCCUAGAGACUGGACACUUGCUAUCAUAGAUAUUAAAGACUGUUUCUUCAGCAUUCUGCUGCACGCCCAGGAUGCUCCACGGUUUGCUUUCUCCGUUCCCUCUCUUAACAGAGAGGCUCCACUCAAAAGUUAUCAUUGGUGUUAUCUUCCUCAAGGAAUGAAAAACUUGCCUACUAUAUGCCAGUGGUACAUUGCUCACAUUCUGUCUGCCGUGCAGAACCUAUUUCCAGGUGCAAUCGUCUACCACUAUAUGGAUUAUAUCCUGGUCUGUGCAUCAGAAAAAACUUACUUAGACAAAGCAGUUAAAAAGACCAUCAAAACCAUAGAAAAAGCAGGAUCCGAGAUCCGUCAGGACAAAAUACAGUACACCAACCCAUGGACUUAUCUCAGAUUCCAGAUCCGUGAAAGGACUUUCGUACCCCAGCAGCUCACCAUCCGAGACGACCCAAAAACCCUGAGAGACUUACACAGUCUGUGGGGAUCCAUCAACUGGGUAUGUCCCCUGCUAAGAAUUACAACAGAGGACCUCGCUUCCCUGUUCAACCUUCUCCGUGGCAGCGAAGACCUGGACUCUCCACACACUCUAACACCAGAAGCCCGAGAUGCCAUCACCAAGGUCCAAGAAGCCCUGUCUUCUUGCAAAGCCCAUUGCUUCAAGCCCAGCCUUCCUUUCCAGUUUGUCAUUCUGGGAAAAGCACCCCUGUACUAUGGACUGAAUUUCCAAUGGGAUCCUCAACUUUGAGACCCUUUAUUGAUACUGGAAUGGAUCUUUACAAACAACCAACCUUCAAAGACAAUUACCACUUCAAGAAAUCAUGGGACAUCUAAUAAAAAAAGCCAGAACUCACCUCCGCUCCCUUGCAGGGUGUGAGUUCACUUGCCACUGGCCACUGGGGACCGGGAGCAUUUGCUCCAGACCAGUGAAAAUUUCCAGUUUGCCCUUGAUAUCUAUACAGGCCAAAUUUCCAUCCAUACCCCAAAACAUAAACUUUUUAAUGGUGAUGCAGCCUUUAAUCUGACCCCAAAAUUAGUCCAAAGUAAAACACCUCUCAAAGCUCUAACCAUUUUUACAGACAGCUCAGGGUCAUCCCACAAUUCUGUAAUGGCCUGGAAGGACCCUAAGACCCAAAAAUGGGAAUCUGACAUUCAAAUAGUGGAGGGAUCUCCACAGAUCGCAGAGUUAGCAGCUGUUGUCAGUGCCUUUGAGAAAUUCAAAGACGAACCCUUUAAUCUGGUCACAGAUUCAGCUUAUGUUGCUGGUAUAGCUAUGAGAGCGGAACAUGCUCUUCUCAAAGAAGUUUCCAAUCCAAAGUUACGCCAAUUGAUUUCUACAUUAACACGCUUAAUCUCCCACAGAAAACAACCUUACCAUAUAAUGCAUGUGAGGUCACACACCGACCUCCCAGGUAUCAUCACAGAAGGGAUCAGGAAAGCGGAUGCAUUGGCCAUGGCAACAGAGACUGCUAACGUCCCUGACAUCUUUGCCCAGGCAAAGUUGUCACACGCAUUUUAUCAUCAAAAUGUACCUGCCCUUCUCAGAAUGUUCAAGCUCUCAAAAAAUCAAGCAAAAGCUAUUGUUGCCACAUGCCUGAACUGCCAAAACUACUAGAUACCGUCUAUGGGGAAGGGAGUCAAUCCCCGAGGCCUGAACAGCUGCCAGCUGUGGCAGACAGAUGUAACUCACUUCCCACCUUUUGGAAGGUCAAAAUAUGUGCAUGUAUUGGUCGAUAUGUUCUCUGGAGCAGUAUUUGCAUCAGCUCAUCCAGGAGAAACUACACAGCACACCAUAAAACAUUUCCUCCUUGCCUUCGCCACCCUAGGAGUACCAAAGGAAAUCAAAACAGACAAUGGACCUGCCUAUACCUCUUGUAAGUUAAAAGAGUUCUUCAGUGAAUGGGGAAUAGAACACAAGAAAGGCAUACCUGCAAACCCCACAGGACAAUCCAUCGUGGAAAGGACACAUCAAACCCUCAAAAGAGUUCUCAAUCAGCAGCGAAGAGAAACAGAAAACAUAUCUCCAUUUGGAAAGACUUUGCAAGGCUCUCUAUGUCAACAACUUCCUGAACUGUACAACAUCAGAGCCUGACCCACCAAUACUUCGCCACUUUGCAAAUACCGCCCAAGCAAAGCUCACUGAGAAACCACCUGUGCUAGUGAAGGACCUAGAAACACAUAAAAUUUCUGGGCCUUUCCAGUUGAUUACUUGGGGAAGAGGGUAUGCGUAUGUUCUACUACUGUCUGGCCCAAGAUGGUACCCAGGAAAAAACAUAUAACCAUACCUAGGCACUGAAAACACUACUCCCACAAAGAGUGACAAGAAUUCUCCUGAGUCAAAUACAAGACCUCAAAACCAGACCAGUUCUGCCUGGAGAUGAAGGCGUCGCCAAACAUCCACAUACCGGAGACAAGACCGUCCCAUCAUGUGACAGCAGACAAAACAGAAAGCUGAACAACAUUGUGCUGCAUCAGUCAAGCCAUAAGCCAGAAAGAGCCUGAACACAAAUUGUUCUCUGAAUUACAUGUUAUUACCCCUUUUACCAUAAAAAACCCUAUUGCUCCCCUUUUUCAACUUUUACCAAAAACCCCUAGCCGUAUACCCACUCCCCCAUCCUUAGCUUAUAGAAAGAGAGAGGAAAAAAAAGGGCGGGGGGAGGGGGAGAAGGAAAGUAAGAAAGGAACAAGGGGGAAAACCCUAACCCUCCCCUCCCACCAUGAAGAUAACACAUUUUGCUUCUAUUCCCUAUCAGAAGCCCCAUCCCUUUCCAAAGAUGAAAAUUAUCUCUGUUGGUGCUGUCCUCACUGCUGCGGGGAUGCUCCUCACCGUACCAUAUGCCAUCAGCUGGAUUAGCCCAGAGCCUAGCCAUAAUGUUUGGGUAACCUUAGCAAAGACAUUAAAACAGGAUAACAUGUGCUUAUUCAUGGGAAGCCUUGAUAAACCACUUUCCAAAUGUCUGGUAGGAAUUCCCUUCGUAGCUGAUGACUGGCCCGUCUAUAAUUCAGAGCUCCUCCACACCACAGGUGAGAGACCCAACCUGGUAGAUACUUGGGACGAGUGGACAAAAAUGUUGCCCGGUGCUCUAGAGGAACCCCGAGAAUUGGACCUGUUUGGGGUUUCCAAAGCAACAUUCUGUGUCAAAUUUUACUUGAGAUGUCUGAAGAAUAAUUGGCCAGAAAUUGACCAGACAAAAAACACAUACAGAAAAGACAUAUCACCCAUUAACAAGGCCUAUAACCCUCCUGAUUGGUGUAGUUACACUGCUCGCGUGAUCUCUGUAUCCUCUCUCCACCCCAAAGUACUACCCAAAGGAACGUUUCUCAUCUGUGGUGACCAAGUAUGGGCUGGGAUUCUCUCACGGCUCCAGGGAGGUCCCUGUAGCCUUGGAAAACUUUCUACCCUCACUCCAAAUAUCGCCUUGUUACAUAAUUGGAAAAAAAGAAAGCUAAUUAAAAUGCCACAAAAGAUCCUACACGGAAUUUGAUGAAAAUUGCGAUCCCAAAUUAUACGAUUGGAAGAAACCAAAAAAGAUAGCUGUCUCUAUAUUCCUACCAUGGGUAGCUGCAGCUAAGGCCCUUGGUGAAAUAAAUCACCUUGGGUACUGGCUCAGUAAGCAAACCAACACUACAUCUACUGCCCUGAGUGAUCUUUUAAAGGAAGAAGAAACCACAAGACGUGCAUCACUUCAAAAUCUAGCCGCGAUUGACUUCCUGCUGCUUGCCCACGGACAUGGCUGCCAAGGCUUCGAAGGGAUGUCCUGCUUCAAUCUCUCUUCACUCUCAGAAUCCAUCCAUGCAAACAUCCAGAAACUGAAGGAACUUGUGAAGGACUUAAAAGCAGAAAACAACCCAGACUGGGUCAAUGACUUUUUCGGUCAAUGGGGAUUAACAGGAUGGGUUGCAUCUUGGGUUAAGGGAAUUCUGUGGAUUUUCAUUGCAAUUGUCAUUGUAUUAGCUAUGUUCUCAUGUCUGUUCCAUUGCUUUAAAAGAACUACUGGGAACGCCUUUUUACUAAAUACAAAAAGUGGAGUUGUAGCAGGCACAGGGCCUGCAAGGCCUCCCUGGCGGUCUGUUGCCUAAGAUAAGAAAUGCCUAGUCAUGAUGACUGGACCAAAGUAGCCCCUGUUCUGCCUUCGGACCCUCCUUAUCUCUUUGUAAGAUGAUAGGUCACUUUUGCCUCGGCCCUUACUAUUGAGCUGUUUCCUAAAACCCCUAUACCCAUAUAAACACCCACCUCUGCUAAGUUCUUCAGAAGAGCUGUCACUGUGACCCUUUGCAGAAGCUGCCAAUAAAGACACCUCUGUGGAACCACA